GUCCUGGUGGCUCAGUUGGUUAGAGCGCUAGAGUACGAAUCCAGAAGCCGUGAGUUCAAGUCUCACCCAAGGCA
Cydia fagiglandana is the source of this 74-nucleotide non-coding RNA. NCBI's taxonomy places the organism in Eukaryota, Metazoa, Arthropoda, Insecta, Lepidoptera, Tortricidae. The record is from the annotation of a RefSeq genome assembly.